AUUGGCAUAGGGAGGAUAGCAGUGAGUCAGAUACGGAGUAUAGCUCGGUGGGUGAGUGAGAUAGGGAGUAUAGGAGUGAGUGAGAAAGGCCAAGGAGUAUAGCUCAGUGGGUAGAGCGACUGGCUGGCACCCGGGAGGCUGGGGAUCGAUUCCAGGUGUGAGUGAGUGAGAUUGGCAUAGGGAGGACAGCAGUGAGUGAGAUAGGCUUAGGGAGUAUCGGAGUGAGUGAGAUAGGCGUAGGGAGUAUAGCUCAGUGGGUGGGUGAGAUAGGCAUAGGGAGUAUAGUUCAGUCGGUGAGUGAGAAAGUAAUAGGGAGUAUAGCUCAGUGGGAAGAGUGGCUGGCUGGCACCCGGGAGGCCGGGGUUCGAUUCCAGGUGGGAGUGAGUGAGAUAGGCAUAGGGAGUAUAGCUCAGUGGGAAGAGUGGCUGGCUGGCACCCGGGAGGCCGGGGUUCGAUUCCAGGUGUGAGUGAGAUAGGCAUAGGGAGUAUAGGAGUGACUGAGUGAGUGAGAUAGGCAGAGGGAGGAUUGCAGCCAGUCAGUGAGAUAGGGAGCAUAGCUCACUGGGUGAGUGAGAUAGGCAUAGGCAGUAUAGCUCAGUGGGUAGAAGGCUGGCUGUCACCCGGGAGACCGGGGAUCGAUUCCAGGUGUGAGUGAGUGAGAGUGGCAUAGGGAGGAUAGCAGUGAGUGAGUGAGUGAGAUAGGCAUAGGGAGUAUAUCUCAGUGGGAAGAGUGGCUGGCUGGCACCCGGGAGGCCGGGGUUCGAUUCCAGGUGUGAGUGAGUGAGAUUGGCAUAGGGAGGAUAGCAGUGAGUGAGAUAGGGAGUAUAGCUCAGUGGGUGAGUGUGAUAGGGAGUAUAGGAGUGAGUGAGAAAGGCCAAGGAGUAUAGCUCAGUGGGUGAGUGUGAUAGGGAGUAUAGGAGUGAGUGAGAAAGGCCAAGGAGUAUAGCUCAGUGGGUAGAGUGACUGGCUGGCACCCGGGAGGCUGGGGAUCGAUUCCAGGUGUGAGUGAGUGAGAUUGGCAUAGGGAGGAUAGCUCAGUGGGUGAGUGAGAUAGGGGGUAGAGCUCAGUGGGUGAGUGAGAUAGGGAGUACAGCUCAGUGGGUGAGUGUGAUAGGGAGUAUAGGAGUGAGUGAGAAAGGCCAAGGAGUAUAGCUCAGUGGGUAGAGUGACUGGCUGGCACCCGGGAGGCUGGGGAUCGAUUCCAGGAGUGAGUGAGAUUGGCAUAGGGAGGAUAGCAGUGAGUGAGAUGGGGAGUAUACCCACUGAGUAUAGCUCAGUGGGUGAGUGUGAUAGGGAGUAUAGCUCAGUGGGUGAGUGAGAUAGGGAGUAUAGGAGUGAGUGAGAAAGGCCAAGGAGUAUAGCUCAGUGGGUGAGUGUGAUAGGGAGUAUAGGAGUGAGUGAGAAAGGCCAAGGAGUAUAGCUCAGUGGGUAGAGUGACUGGCUGGCACCCGGGAGGUUGGGUAUCGAUUAAAGGUGUGAGUGAGAAAGAUUGGCAUAGGGAGGAUAGCAGUGAGUGAGAUAGGGAGUAUAGCUCAGUGGGUGAGUAAGAUAGGGAGUAUAGCUCAGUGGGUGAGUGUGAUAGGGAGUAUAGGAGUUAGUGAGAAAGGCCAAGCAGUAUAGCUCAGGGGGUAGAGUGUCUGGCUGGCACCCGGGAGGCUGGGGAUCGAUUCCAGGUGUGAGUGAGAUUGGCAUCGGGAGGAUAGCAGUGAGUGAGAUAGGGAGUAUCGCUCAGUGGGUGAGUGAGAUAGGGAGUAUAAGAGUGAGUAAGAAAGGCCAAGGAGUAUAGCUCAGUGGGUAGAGUGACUGGCUGGCACCCGGGAGGCUGGGGAUCGAUUCCAGUUGUGAGUGAGUGAGAUUGGCAUAGGGAGGAUAGCAGUGAGUGAGAUAGGGAGUCUAGCUCAGUGGGUGAGUGAGAUAGGGAGUAUAGGAGUGAGUGAGAAAGGCCAAGGAGUAUAGCUCAGUGGGUGAGUGUGAUAGGGAGUAUAGGAGUGAGAAAGGCCAAGGAGUAUAGCUCAGUGGGUAGAGUGACUGGCUGGCACCUGGGAGGCUGGGGAUCGAUUCCAGGUGUGAGUGAGUGAGAUUGGCAUAGGGAGGAUAGCAGUCAGUGAGAUAGGGAGUAUAGCUCAGUGGGUGAGUGUGAUAGGGAGUAUAGCUCAGUGGGUGAGUGUGAUAGGGAGUAUAGGAGUGAGUGAGAAAGGCCAAGGAGUAUAGCUCAGUGGGUAGAGUGACUGGCUGGCACCCGGGAGGCUGGGGAUCGAUUCCAGGUGUGAGUGAGUGAGAUUGGCAUAGGGAGGAUAGCAGUGAGUGAGUGAGAUAGGGAGUAUAGGUCAGUGGGUGAGUGAGAUAGGGAGUAUACGAGUGAGUGAGAAUGGCCAAGGAGUAUAGCUCAGUGGGUAGAGUGGCUGGCUGGCACCUGGGAGGCUGGGGAUCGAUUCCAGGUGUGAGUGAGUGAGAUUGGCAUAGGGAGGAUAGCAGUGAGUGAGAUAGGGAGUAUAGCUCAGUGGGUGAGUGAGAUAGGGAAUAUAGGAGUGAGUGAGAAAGGCCAAGGAGUAUAGCUCAGUGGGUUGAGUGACUGGCUGGCACCCGGGAGGCUGGGGAUCGAUUCCAGGUGUGAGUGAGUGAGAUUGGCAUAGGGAGGAUAGCAGUGAGUGAGAUAGGGAGUAUAGCUCAGUGGGUGAGUGUGAGAGGGAGUAUAGGAGUGAGUGAGAAAGGCCAAGGAGUAUAGCUCAGUGGGUAGAGUGACUGGCUGGCACCCGGGAGGCUGGGGAUCGAUUCCAGGAGCGAGUGAGAUUGGCAUAGGGAGGAUAGCAGUGAGUGAGAUAGGGAGUAUAGCUCAGUGGGUGAGUGAGAUAGGGAGUAUAGGAGUGAGUGAGAAAGGCCAAGGAGUAUAGCUCAGUGGGUGAGUGUGAUAGGGAGUAUAGGAGUGAGUGAGAAAGGCCAAGGAGUAUAGCUCAGUGGGUGAGUGUGAUAGGGAGUAUAGGAGUGAGUGAGAAAGGCCAAGGAGUAUAGCUCAGUGGGUAGAGUGACUGGCUGGCACCCGGGAGGCUGGGGAUCGAUUCCAGGUGUGAGUGAGUGAGAUUGGCAUAGGGAGGAUAGCAGUGAGUGAGAUAGGGAGUAUAGCUCAGUGGGUGAGUGUGAGAGGGAGUAUCGGAGUGAGUGAGAAAGGCCAAGGAGUAUAGCUCAGUGGGUAGAGUGACUGGCUGGAACCCGGGAGGCUGGGGAUCGAUUCCAGGUGUGAGUGAGUGAGAUUGGCAUAGGGAGGAUAGCAGUGAGUGAGAUAGGGAGGAUCGCUCAGUGGGUGAGUGUGAUAGGGAGUAUAGCUCAGUGGGUGAGUGAGAUAGGGAGUAUAGGAGUGAGUGAGAAAGGCCAAGGAGCACAGCUCAGUGGGUGAGUGUGAUAGGGAGUAUAGGAGUGAGUGAGAAAGGCCAAGGAGUAUAGCUCAGUGGGUAGAGUGACUGGCUGGCACCCGGGAGGCUGGGGAUCGAUUCCAGGAGUGAGUGAGAUUGGCAUAGGGAGGAUAGCAGUGAGUGAGAUAGGGAGUAUAGCUCAGUGGGUGAGUGUGAUAGGGAGUAUAGGAGUGAGUGAGAAAGGCCAAGGAGUAUAGCUCAGUGGGUAGAGUGACUGGCUGGCACCCGGGAGGCUGGGGAUCGAUUCCAGGAGUGAGUGAGAUUGGCAUAGGGAGGAUAGCAGUGAGUGAGAUGGGGAGUAUACCCACUGAGUAUAGCUCAGUGGGUGAGUGUGAUAGGGAGUAUAGCUCAGUGGGUGAGUGAGAUAGGGAGUAUAGGAGUGAGUGAGAAAGGCCAAGGAGUAUAGCUCAGUGGGUGAGUGUGAUAGGGAGUAUAGGAGUGAGUGAGAAAGGCCAAGGAGUAUAGCUCAGUGGGUAGAGUGACUGGCUGGCACCCGGGAGGCUGGGGAUCGAUUCCAGGUGUGAGUGAGAUUGGCAUCGGGAGGAUAGCAGUGAGUGAGAUAGGGAGUAUCGCUCAGUGGGUGAGUGAGAUAGGGAGUAUAAGAGUGAGUAAGAAAGGCCAAGGAGUAUAGCUCAGUGGGUAGAGUGACUGGCUGGCACCCGGGAGGCUGGGGAUCGAUUCCAGUUGUGAGUGAGUGAGAUUGGCAUAGGGAGGAUAGCAGUGAGUGAGAUAGGGAGUCUUGCUCAGUGGGUGAGUGAGAUAGGGAGUAUAGGAGUGAGUGAGAAAGGCCAAGGAGUAUAGCUCAGUGGGUGAGUGUGAUAGGGAGUAUAGGAGUGAGAAAGGCCAAGGAGUAUAGCUCAGUGGGUAGAGUGACUGGCUGGCACCUGGGAGGCUGGGGAUCGAUUCCAGGUGUGAGUGAGUGAGAUUGGCAUAGGGAGGAUAGCAGUCAGUGAGAUAGGGAGUAUAGCUCAGUGGGUGAGUGUGAUAGGGAGUAUAGCUCAGUGGGUGAGUGUGAUAGGGAGUAUAGGAGUGAGUGAGAAAGGCCAAGGAGUAUAGCUCAGUGGGUAGAGUGACUGGCUGGCACCCGGGAGGCUGGGGAUCGAUUCCAGGUGUGAGUGAGUGAGAUUGGCAUAGGGAGGAUAGCAGUGAGUGAGUGAGAUAGGGAGUAUAGGUCAGUGGGUGAGUGAGAUAGGGAGUAUACGAGUGAGUGAGAAUGGCCAAGGAGUAUAGCUCAGUGGGUAGAGUGGCUGGCUGGCACCUGGGAGGCUGGGGAUCGAUUCCAGGUGUGAGUGAGUGAGAUUGGCAUAGGGAGGAUAGCAGUGAGUGAGAUAGGGAGUAUAGCUCAGUGGGUGAGUGAGAUAGGGAAUAUAGGAGUGAGUGAGAAAGGCCAAGGAGUAUAGCUCAGUGGGUUGAGUGACUGGCUGGCACCCGGGAGGCUGGGGAUCGAUUCCAGGUGUGAGUGAGUGAGAUUGGCAUAGGGAGGAUAGCAGUGAGUGAGAUAGGGAGUAUAGCUCAGUGGGUGAGUGUGAGAGGGAGUAUAGGAGUGAGUGAGAAAGGCCAAGGAGUAUAGCUCAGUGGGUAGAGUGACUGGCUGGCACCCGGGAGGCUGGGGAUCGAUUCCAGGAGCGAGUGAGAUUGGCAUAGGGAGGAUAGCAGUGAGUGAGAUAGGGAGUAUAGCUCAGUGGGUGAGUGAGAUAGGGAGUAUAGGAGUGAGUGAGAAAGGCCAAGGAGUAUAGCUCAGUGGGUGAGUGUGAUAGGGAGUAUAGGAGUGAGUGAGAAAGGCCAAGGAGUAUAGCUCAGUGGGUGAGUGUGAUAGGGAGUAUAGGAGUGAGUGAGAAAGGCCAAGGAGUAUAGCUCAGUGGGUAGAGUGACUGGCUGGCACCCGGGAGGCUGGGGAUCGAUUCCAGGUGUGAGUGAGUGAGAUUGGCAUAGGGAGGAUAGCAGUGAGUGAGUGAGAUAGGGAGUAUAGCUCAGUGGGUGAGUGAGAUAGGGAGUAUACAAGUGAGUGAGAAAGGCCAAGGAGUAUAGCUCAGUGGGUAGAGUGACUGGCUGGCACCUGGGAGGCUGGGGAUCGAUUCCAGGUGUGAGUGAGAUAGGCAUAGGGAGUAUAGGAGUGACUGAGUGAGUGAGUGAGUGAGUGAGUGAGAUAGGCAGAGGGAGGAUUGCAGCCAGUCAGUGAGAUAGGGAGCAUAGCUCACUGGGUGAGUGAGAUAGGCAUAGGCAGUAUAGCUCAGUGGGUAGAAAGGCUGGCUGUCACCCGGGAGACCGGGGAUCGAUUCCAGGUGUGAGUGAGUGAGAGUGGCAUAGGGAGGAUAGCAGUGAGUGAGUGAGUGAGAUAGGCAUAGGGAGUAUAUCUCAGUGGGAAGAGUGGCUGGCUGGCACCCGGGAGGCCGGGGUUCGAUUCCAGGUGUGAGUGAGUGAGAUUGGCAUAGGGAGGAUAGCAGUGAGUGAGAUAGGGAGUAUAGCUCAGUGGGUGAAUGAGAUAGGGAGUAUAGGAGUGAGUGAGAAAGGCCAAGGAGUAUAGCUCAGUGGGUAGAGUGACUGGCUGGCACCCGGGAGGCUGGGGAUCGAUUCCAGGUGUGAGUGAGUGAGAUUGGCAUAGGGAGGAUAGCAGUGAGUGAGAUAGGGAGUAUAGCUCAGUGGGUGAGUGAGAUAGGGAAUAUAGGAGUGAGUGAGAAAGGCCAAGGAGUAUAGCUCAGUGGGUUGAGUGACUGGCUGGCACCCGGGAGGCUGGGGAUCGAUUCCAGGUGUGAGUGAGUGAGAUUGGCAUAGGGAGGACAGCAGUGAGUGAGUGAGAUACGCUUAGGGAGUAUCGGAGUGAGUGAGAUAGGCGUAGGGAGUAUAGCUCAGUGGGUGGGUGAGAUAGGCAUAGGGAGUAUAGUUCAGUCGGUGAGUGAGAAAGUAAUAGGGAGUAUAGCUCAGUGGGAAGAGUGGCUGGCUGGCACCCGGGAGGCCGGGGUUCGAUUCCAGGUGGGAGUGAGUGAGAUAGGCAUAGGGAGUAUAGCUCAGUGGGAAGAGUGGCUGGCUGGCACCCGGGAGGCCGGGGUUCGAUUCCAGGUGUGAGUGAGAUAGGCAUAGGGAGUAUAGGAGUGACUGAGUGAGUGAGAUAGGCAGAGGGAGGAUUGCAGCCAGUCAGUGAGAUAGGGAGCAUAGCUCACUGGGUGAGUGAGAUAGGCAUAGGCAGUAUAGCUCAGUGGGUAGAGAGGCUGGUUGUCACCCGGGAGACCGGGGAUCGAUUCCAGGUGUGAGUGAGUGAGAGUGGCAUAGGGAGGAUAGCAGUGAGUGAGUGAGUGAGAUAGGCAUAGGGAGUAUAUCUCAGUGGGAAGAGUGGCUGGCUGGCACCCGGGAGGCCGGGGUUCGAUUCCAGGUGUGAGUGAGUGAGAUUGGCAUAGGGAGGAUAGCAGUGAGUGAGAUAGGGAGUAUAGCUCAGUGGGUGAGUGUGAGAGGGAGUAUAGGAGUGAGUGAGAAAGGCCAAGGAGUAUAGCUCAGUGGGUAGAGUGACUGGCUGGCACCCGGGAGGCUGGGGAUCGAUUCCAGGAGCGAGUGAGAUUGGCAUAGGGAGGAUAGCAGUGAGUGAGAUAGGGAGUAUAGCUCAGUGGGUGAGUGUGAUAGGGAGUAUAGGAGUGAGUGAGAAAGGCCAAGGAGUAUAGCUCAGUGGGUAGAGUGACUGGCUGGCACCCGGGAGGCUGGGGAUCGAUUCCAGUUGUGAGUGAGUGAGAUUGGCAUAGGGAGGAUAGCAGUGAGUGAGAUAGGGAGUAUAGCUCAGUGGGUGAGUGAGAUAGGGAGUAUAGGAGUGAGUGAGAAAGGCCAAGGAGUAUAGCUCAGUGGGUGAGUGUGAUAGGGAGUAUCGGAGUGAGUGAGAAAGGCCAAGGAGUAUAGCUCAGUGGGUAGAGUGACUGGCUUGCACCCGGGAGGCUGGGGAUCGGUUCCAGGUGUGAGUGAGUGAGAUUGGCAUAGGGAGGAUAGCUCAGUGGGUGAGUGUGAUAGGGAGUAUAGGAGUGAGUGAGAAAGGCCAAGGAGUAUAGCUCAGUGGGUGAGUGUGAUAGGGAGUAUAGGAGUGAGUGAGAAAGGCCAAGGAGUAUAGCUCAGUGGGUAGAGUGACUGGCUGGCACCCGGGAGGCUGGGGAUCGAUUCCAGGUGUGAGUGAGUGAGAUUGGCAUAGGGAGGAUAGCAGUGAGUGAGUGAGAUAGGGAGUAUAGCUCAGUGGGUGAGUGAGAUAGGGAGUAUACAAGUGAGUGAGAAAGGCCAAGGAGUAUAGCUCAGUGGGUAGAGUGACUGGCUGGCACCCGGGAGGUUGGGGAUCGAUUCCAAGUGUGAGUGAGUGAGAUUGGCAUAGGGAGGAUAGCAGUGAGUCAGAUAGGGAGUAUAGCUCAGUGGGUGAGUGAGAUAGGGAGUAUAGCUCAGUGGGUGAGUGAGAUAAGCAUAGAGAUUAUAGGAGUGAGUGAGUGUGGUAGGCCAAGGAGUACAGCUCAGUGGGUAGAGUGGCUGGCUGGCACCUGGGAGGCUGGGGAUCGAUUCCAGGUGUGAGCGAGUGAGAUUGGCAUAGGGAGGACGUGAUUGAGUGAGUGAGUGAGUGAGAUAGGCUUAGGGAGUAUCGGAGUGAGUGAGAUAGGCGUAGGGAGUAUAGCUCAGUGGGUGGGUGAGAUAGGCAUAGGGAGUAUAGUUCAGUUGGUGAGUGAGAAAGUAAUAGGGAGUAUAGCUCAGUGGGAAGAGUGGCUGGCUGGCACCCGGGAGGCCGGGGUUCGAUUCCAGGUGUGAGUGAGAUAGGCAUAGGGAGUAUAGGAGUGACUGUGUGAGUGAGAUAGGCAGAGGGAGGAUUGCAGCCAGUCAGUGAGAUAGGGAGCAUAGCUCACUGGGUGAGUGAGAUAGGCAUAGGCAGUAUAGCUCAGUGGGUAGAGAGGCUGGCUGUCACCCGGGAGACCGGGGAUCGAUUCCAGGUGUGAGUGAGUGAGAGUGGCAUAGGGAGGAUAGCAGUGAGUGAGUGAGUGAGAUAGGCAUAGGGAGUAUAUCUCAGUGGGAAGAGUGGCUGGCUGGCACCCGGGAGGCCGGGGUUCGAUUCCAGGUGUGAGUGAGUGAGAUUGGCAUAGGGAGGAUAGCAGUGAGUGAGAUAGGGAGUAUAGCUCAGUGGGUGAAUGAGAUAGGGAGUAUAGGAGUGAGUGAGAAAGGCCAAGGAGUAUAGCUCAGUGGGUAGAGUGACUGGCUGGCACCCGGGAGGCUGGGGAUCGAUUCCAGGUGUGAGUGAGUGAGAUUGGCAUAGGGAGGAUAGCUCAGUGGGUGAGUGAGAUAGGGGGUAGAGCUCAGUGGGUGAGUGUGACAGGGAGUAUAGGAGUGAGUGAGAAAGGCCAAGGAGUAUAGCUCAGUGGGUAGAGUGACUGGCUGGCACCCGGGAGGCUGGGGAUCGAUUCCAGGUGUGAGUGAGUGAGAUUGGCAAAGGGAGGAUAGCAGUGAGUGAGAUUGGGAGUAUAGCUCAGUGGUGAGUGAGAUAGGGAGUAUAGCUCAGUGGGUGAGUGUGAUAGGGAGUAUAGCUCAGUGGGUGAGUGUGAUAGGGAGUAUAGGAGUGAGUGAGAAAAGCCAAGGAGUAUAGCUCAGUGGGUAGAGUGACUGGCUGGCACCCGGGAGGCUGGGGAUCGAUUCCAGGAGUGAGUGAGAUUGGCAUAGGGAGGAUAGCAGUGAGUGAGAUAGGGAGUAUAGCUCAGUGGGUGAGUGUGAUAGGGAGUAUAGGAGUGAGUGAGAAAGGCCAAGGAGUAUAGCUCAGUGGGUAGAGUGACUGGCUGGCACCCGGGAGGCUGGGGAUCGAUUCCAGUUGUGAGUGAGUGAGAUUGGCAUAGGGAGGAUAGCAGUGAGUGAGAUAGGGAGUAUAGCUCAGUGGGUGAGUGUGAUAGGGAGUAUAGGAGUGAGUGAGAAAGGCCAAGGAGUAUAGCUCAGUGGGUAGAGUGACUGGCUGGCACCCGGGAGGCUGGGGAUCGAUUCCAAGUGUGAGUGAGUGAGAUUGGCAUAGGGAGGAUAGCUCAGUGGGUGAGUGAGACAGGGAGUAUAGCUCAGUGGGUGAGUGAGAUAAGCAUAGAGAUUAUAGGAGUGAGUGAGUGUGGUUGGCCAAGGAGUAUAGCUCAGUGGGUAGAGUGGCUGGCUGGCACCUGGGAGGCUGGGGAUCGAUUCCAGGUGUGAGCGAGUGAGAUUGGCAUAGGGAGGACGUGAUUGAGUGAGUGAGUGAGUGAGAUAGGCUUAGGGAGUAUCGGAGUGAGUGAGAUAGGCGUAGGGAGUAUAGCUCAGUGGGUGGGUGAGAUAGGCAUAGGGAGUAUAGUUCAGUUGGUGAGUGAGAAAGUAAUAGGGAGUAUAGCUCAGUGGGAAGAGUGGCUGGCUGGCACCCGGGAGGCCGGGGUUCGAUUCCAGGUGUGAGUGAGAUAGGCAUAGGGAGUAUAGGAGUGACUGUGUGAGUGAGAUAGGCAGAGGGAGGAUUGCAGCCAGUCAGUGAGAUAGGGAGCAUAGCUCACUGGGUGAGUGAGAUAGGCAUAGGCAGUAUAGCUCAGUGGGUAGAGAGGCUGGCUGUCACCCGGGAGACCGGGGAUCGAUUCCAGGUGUGAGUGAGUGAGAGUGGCAUAGGGAGGAUAGCAGUGAGUGAGUGAGUGAGAUAGGCAUAGGGAGUAUAUCUCAGUGGGAAGAGUGGCUGGCUGGCACCCGGGAGGCCGGGGUUCGAUUCCAGGUGUGAGUGAGUGAGAUUGGCAUAGGGAGGAUAGCAGUGAGUGAGA
This is a long non-coding RNA of Acanthochromis polyacanthus (spiny chromis), 10153 nucleotides long. RefSeq lists it as uncharacterized. The record is from RefSeq and is a predicted model, not a curated record. Lineage: Eukaryota; Metazoa; Chordata; Actinopteri; Pomacentridae. The transcript is spliced from 22 exons.